GUGUUCUUAACCCACAGCGGAUGGAACUCGACCUUGGAGAGUGUAUAUGCAGGAGUACCCAUGAUUUGUUGGCCUGCAAUUGGUGACCAACAAAUCAACAGCAGGUUCGUGAGUGAUGUGUGGAAAAUCGGUCUUGACAUGAAAGAUACCUGUGACAGAUCAACGAUUGAGAAAAUGGUGAGAAGCCUGAUGGAGGAUAAAAGAGAAGAGAUCAUGAAAUCAGUGAAUAAGAUUAAGAAGCUGGCUCAUGAAACUGUCAAGGAUGGGGGCUCUUCUUUCUCCAACCUUGAGAAAUUGAUUGAUGACAUUUGGUCACUGAGUCAUUUUGCUCGGAAGGAAAGAAGUGACUAGAAGGCAUUAGCAUUUCACCAGUUAUAAAACAAUGUAUCCUAAAUAAUAAAUGUUAGUAGGCAUCCUAUAAAUAUUAUUGAAAUCUAUAUCAACAAACGAUUCAACAAAACUCUCUAUUGCUAAAUCUUUCUCGACAAUUAAUGUCUUUUUUUAUUAUAUAUGUCAAUCUUCUUGUUAUCGACAAAUUCAUACUUGGGAUGAGCAUGUUCGAAUUUAUUACAAGAAAAGAAUUAAUUUUGUUACAUAUAAGUUGAAAAUUGUACAAUGAAACCAACAGUUGCAGCUAGAGCCUAGAGAAACAUCAUUAAUGGUGUAAACACUAGCCAUCGGAGUACUAAUGUCAGAGAGAGCAAGUUGAAGUUUAUUUCAUUAGUGACUUAGUUAAUUAGAUUUAAAUGCAAAAGAACAAUGGAGAACUCAUCCCUAUGACAAGUGCUCAGUCGGAAGCACUACAGAACAGGUAACAGCAAUGCAAGAGGGCAUAUGGGCAAAAUGUAGUUUUGGCCUCUAACUCAUACCACCAUUCUCUUCUUAAAUAAUAAUAAUAAUAAUAAAGGAAAGAAGUGCACACAUGAAGGAAGAAAGAUCAGAAACUUCUUGAAUUAGAAAGAAGAACAAAAAUAUGACUCAUCCAUCAUAAAUGAGUUGUUCAUGAAGUUUUUUUUUUUCCUUUUUUGAGAAUUUCUCAUCUUUCAUCUUUCCUUUGUCUGUUAUGUGAAUAAUCUUUUAGUCCAAUGCAAUAUAUAUGUAUAUAAGUCAUCAUAAAUUUGCAAAGUGUUGCUCAAUGUUGUGAACAGAUAAAGUGGCUUGAACAUUUUAAGUAGAAUUUUGAAUAUUCUGAACAGUAUAUACUUAGUUUACAGUAUUUCUUUUAAUUGAAUAUUGCUAAGAAGGAAGAACAGAACCCAUCAGCGGUCGUUAAUGUUGAUAAAUUAUGGAGGAUGAAAAUAUGGCUCAUGUUAGGAAGCGUCUCUUUUAGGUUGAGUAGAACAGGGAUGAAUAGAGUAUUUGCAAAAUGAAAGAAAAAGCACACACUUCAUUCAUAAUCCAAACCAUAUAUACAGCCUACUAGCUACUUGGUAGUUAUAAGGAAUUACAAGUAAACGCAUGAUAAAAAAUAACUAAAUACAACAUCACGUUUUCAACUUCCACGUACAAGUCGUGCUGCUAUUUUCAACUGACUGUAACUUGUUGCCAGCAUUAUUAGCAACACUCCUCCUUAAUGCUUGCAACCUGAAUCAUCAACUUAUCUUUGUUAAGUUCAAAACUUGACUUAGACUGAGGCUUGGUCAUUAUGUUUGCAACCUGGUCUUCUGAUUUGCAGUAUUGCACAAGUAUCUCCCCUUUCUUUUCUGCAUCUCUGAGGGCAUGGUACUUGAUGUUGAUAUGCUUGGUUCUUCCAUGAAACACAGGAUUCUUGGUCAUGGAGAUUGCAGACUUGUUAUCAAGAAACAACUUUGUAGGAUUGGUUUGAUCCAUGCCAAGAUCAUGUAGAAUUUUCCUUAGCCAGAUUGCUUGAUUUGAAGCUUCAGCUGCUGCCACAUAUUCUGCCUCAGAUGAGGAUUGUGCCACUGUAUUCUGCUUGUGAGAGUUCCAUGAAAAAGGACCAUUUCUCAGAGAAAAUAUGUAGCCUAAUAUGCUUCUACCAUCAUCAUUGCAGCCACCCCGAUCACUAUCUGAAAAUCCAACAAGCUCAAUAGUCUUGUUUUUUAUGAAAUUUAUCCCAUGACAGGUUGUACUUCUUAAAUAUCUGAAAACCCUUUUAACAGCAACCAGAUGAAGUUGACUUGGUCUCUGCAUGAAUCUUGAGAGAUAACUUACAACAAACAUUAUCUCUGGAUGGGUAGAACAAAUAUAUAGUAGACAUCCUACAAGACUUCAAUAAUCACUGGCACUCUAUAAUAUUUCACCAGAAUUGAGAGAUAACUUUUCAUGUGCAACUAAAGGAGUUGAGGUUGACUUACAUUCUGCCAUCUUGAAACGUUUAAGGACUUCUUGAAUGUAAUUAAUUUGAGAAAGAGUAAUAUUUUCCUUGGACUGAUAAAUUUCAAAACCAAGAAAAUAUUUCAUUUGACCGAAAUCAGACAUGUGAAACUCCUUUUUCAUUGCUGAUUUAAAUUCCCUGAUACUUGCUUGAUCUCCAUUAGUAAUCAAGAUAUCAUCAACAUAAAGAGACAUAAUUACUGCCAUUUCAUUUUUUAUUUUCUUCACAUACAAAGUAGCUUCAUUCAAGCUCUUGUAAAAACCUUGAGCUAAUACGUAGGCAUCAAUCCUACUGUACCAAGCACAUGGUGCUUGUUUCAGGCCAUAUAGUGCCUUAUGAAGCUUAUAUACUUUGUUUUGUUUGUCACCAACUUCAAAUCCUCUUGGCUGCUCGAUGAAUAUUUCUUCAUUGAGUUUACCAAUCAAAAAGGCAGACUUAACAUCGAUGUGGUAGAUUUUCUAAUCAAGUGCAGCAGAGAGAGCUAUGAGAAGUCUGAUGGUAUCAAGUCUUGCCACUGGUGCAAAAGUAUCAUGAUAGUCUAUUCCAGCAAGUUGAGAAUAACCUUUUGCGACCAAUCUCGCCUUAUUUUUGUUAAGGCUUCCAUCAGAGUUGAAUUUUCGUUUGAAAAUCCAUUUGACAUCAAUUACAUGGCCAUUGAUUGGUCUGUUUAGCAAUGACCAAGUAUGGUUUUGCUCUAUCAUGUUAAUCUCCUCUCUCAUAGCUUUUAUCCAUUCUUCAUGUUGUGAGGCAUCUUCAAAAGAAACAGGAUCAGAUAAAACAACUUGACUUCGUUCAUAAAUGUCUUGAAUGGUGCGAGUACCCCUUACUGGUGCUUCAUCAAUAAGCUCAUUUUCAUCUAACUCAAUAUCAAAAAUAUUUUGAAGAACAGAUAAAGUAUUUGUGGCAGUAACUCUGGUAUGUUGAGGUUUGUCCCAGUUUCAAUAGCUUCUUUCAGCAAAUGAUACAUUCUUGCUGACAGAGAUUUUACCAGAAUCAACAUGAUACACUCUGUAUGCCUUUGAAUGCUGACUAUAACCAAUAAACACUCCCAUUACAGCUUUGGAUUGCAACUUAUCUCUGUGCUCUUCAAUUAUAUGCUGGUAACAAAGGCAUCCAAAGACUUUGAGAUGUGAUACAGAUGGUUUUCUUUCAAACCAUACUUCAUAAGGAGUGGUAUUUUUGAGUGCACGAGAAGGCAACCGAUUUAAUAGAUAAAUAGCUAUACUGGCAGUCUCGGCCCAAAAACUUUUGAGAAGUCCUUUUUCCAGCAAGAGACAUCUCACCAUCUCAAUUAUUGUUCGAUUUUUCCUCUCACUAACACCAUUUUGCUGUGGGCAAUAAGGAGUUGUGAAUUGAUGAAAUAUUCCUUCUUUUUGUAGAAAUUGAGUGAACUCUCAAUAUGUGUAUUCUUCACCAUUAUCAGAUCUGAUUGCUUUAAUCUUUCAUUUUGUUUCAGCUUCAACUUGUGCUUUGAAAUUUAAGAAGUGACCAAACACCUUAGACUUUGUUUUCAUAAAGUAAAUCCAGCACAUGCGUGAUAACUCAUCAACAAAGAUCAAGAAAAACUUAUUGCCAUUUAGAGAUACUUCACUCAUUGGGCCUCCAACAUCGAUGUGAACUAGAUCAAGUUUUCCAAUAGAUCGACUUAAGCUUGCAUGAGGAUAUGGAUUCCUGGUAAGUUUUCCAAAUUGACAAGUGCUGCAAACAUGCUUGGAUUCUGUGACUGAUGGUAAAUUUUCCACUAAACCAGAUGUGCUGGCCUGAAUCAAGGAGGAAUAAUUAUAAUGCCCAAGGCGUUUGUGCCAUAAAGAGGUCAAGUUCAUCUCAUUUUCAGAAGCAUGCAGACACACAUCAUUGAAAUUUAUUGGAAAACACUUUUUUUUCAUUGGAACUGUCAUGAGGUACUUAUCUCUUGGAUUAUAUAUCUUGCAAGAAUGGUCUUUAAACAAUAGUGCAUAACCAUCAUCGACCAUCUGUCCCACACUUAAGAGAUUUUGGGUAAUUUCAGGUACAAGAAGUACUUUAAAUGCAUACCUAUCACCAGAAGAGGUUCGUGUCUCCACAGAUCCUUUUCCAGUUGCUUGCAGAUACACCCCAUUACCUAUCUUCACGUACAAUCGGUGUUGAGUGUCAAGUUCUGCGAAGAGCUCUGCAUAUGGUGUUAUGUGACUUGAAGCUCCACUAUCUAAUAACCACUGAUUUGCUUCAACAACUUUUGAUUCUGUUUGAGCCAUCAGAAGUGUUUCUUCAGCAAUCUCAGCUCUCUCAAAUGCUUAAGGUGAUUUCUCUCAAUUUUCAGACUUAUUCUUGCACACCUUUUCUAUAUGACCAUGCUAAUUAUAGAUUUAGCACUUAGCUGAAGAUUUGAACUAGUAGUUGGCUUCUGCAUGGCUAUGUUUUUUGCAAUGGGAACACAUUUGAUGCUUAUUCUUCUUACCUUAUAAUCUACUUGUUUGAGAAUUCUUUUUCCCUCUGUCUUUCUGUUCAUUUGAACUUUUACUGUUGUAAGCAUCAACUGAGCCUUUUCCUUUCAUCUUGGCCAUCAUAGCAUGAUUUGUGUAGCUGUCGAGACGCAUGGCUCUCCUACUAUCUGAUGCUUGGAGAGCAUUGACUACAUCUGUGAGUUGCAGUUGUGGAAGAUCCUUUGAACCUUUAAGUGAUGAAAUUGUGGGUUCAACCCUUUCAGGUAAGGAUAUCAACACUUUCUCUACAACUCUUUUUUCAGGUAGAUUUUCUCCCAAAAGUCUUACUUGAUUGACUAUUUUCAUCACUUUUCCAAUGUACGCAUUCACUGAGUUAGACUCCUUUAUCUGAAGAAUUUCAAAUUCUCUCAUAAGAUUGAGAAUUUGAAGUUUCCUUGUCAUGUCAGAACCUUGGAACUCAUCUCUAAGUUUGUCCCAAGCCUCCUUUGCCGUGGAACAAGCCAUAAUUCUUGCAAACACUGGUUCCGUGACACAUGCAUGGAGAAAGGACAGAGCUCGAUACCGUUCAGCAACUUCUUCCCCAUGUUGUUUGAUUUGAGCAAGUGUUGCUGUUUCUUUCAAGGUAGGGGGUUUUGAACCUGUCUUGACAAUGUCCCAUAAGUCAUAAGCCUGUAAGUAGGCUUUUAUUUUAACUAACCAGGACGAAUAGUUUUUAAAAUUGAAGGUGGGAGGUGACGGGUGUGAAGCUGUAUUGGAGAUAGAUAUAUUACUAUCAAUUUGCAAUGUUGUUAAAGUUGUGAAUUUGGUUGGUGGUAUGUUUCAGGUUUCUCAAGAGCUUAGUUUUAGCUCUGAUACCAUGAUAAAUUAUGGAGGAUGAAAAUAUGGCUUUUAUUAAGAAGCCUCCAUUUUAGGUUGAGUAUAAUAAGGAUGAACAGAGUAUUUGCAAAAUGAAGAAAAAAACACAUACUUCAUUCAUAAUCCAAACAAUAUAUAUAGCCUACUAGCUACUUGGUAGUUAUAAGGAAUUACAAGUGAAAGCAUGAUAAAAAAUAACUAAAUACAGCAUCAUGUUUUCAACUUCCACGCAUAAGUCAUGCUGUUGUUUUCAACUGAUAGUAACUUGUUGCCAGCAUUAUCAACAACAAACGUUAGCCUGUCAAAUAUCAACUAAUUAUUUUCAAGCAUGCCCUUGGGCAUGAAAGAAAAUCUUUACAAAUCCAAGGGGCCAAAUUUGUACACAAACCGAUUCAACCAAGGAAAGAAUAACACAAUUUCAACAUAAAAACACAAACUGAUGCUAUAAUGGAAUGAAUCACACAAUUUCAGCUAUGAAUCACGUAAAUCUGAGGGAGAUCAAAGGAUGACCUGAAACGGCUGAGGAAGAAGUCAGGACCGAGAGAGGUGACCCAGACAUGUAUGAGUUAUUUUGCUCGAAAGGCAACAAGUGAUUAGAAGGCAUUAGCAUUUCACCAGUUGAAACACAGAAGAUCCUAAAUAAGAUGUAUUGAGUUGCAUUAAGACAAAGAACCGAUCACUUUAGAAGUUAUGUUUUGAUUAAUGAAUUGAUAUUUAAAAAUUCAUUCUCCUCUUUCAGAAAGUUGUUCUUUGGGUUUUUCAGAGGCCAAAUUAUGUCAGAAAGCCUCAAGCCUACAGUUCACCAAUAGCCAAACACAAUAGUCAACUUUCUCAACUUUACUUUUAUCCAGUUAGAAAAUUCUGUCAGCUCCAACCAUUGUCAGAGAACCUCAUCAUGUUCCUGUAACUGUAAGAAAGAGUCUCAUUGUCCGUAUACGAUCGGUUUGAAGCAAAUUAAACUAUUAGCAUCAUUUACACUACUGCAGAUUCGAACCCAAAAGCUAGCAAAAGUGAAAUUCCUUGGGAGAAUCAAAAUGGAGCAAACUCAACCCCGAGCACCACACGUAGUCUUGUUGCCUUUCCCUUCAAUUGGCCACAUCAAACCCUUGCUCAGCCUGGCAGAGCCUCUCAGCCAUGCCAAUUUCCAAGUCACCUUCCUAAACCCUCAACAGAUCCACGAUCGUCUCCUUUUCUCCAUGGAUAUGCUUGCAUUCCACCGUCGGCACCUCGAAUUUGAGUUAUUGUCCAUGCCUGACCCUGUUCGUCCGUCACAUGAUCGUCCACGCCCUGGCCUAUUUAGCCUCCAUGACAAGAUAUUAUCUUUAGGGUCUGUGAUCAAGCUAGCGCUCGGUGAGCUUUUGAUUUCUUCCCUAGUGGGGACGAAUCCCGAUGGACUUGUGUGGAUCCUACGCCCUACCCCCCGAGGUGGGUCUUCAUUAGUAGACUUCCUUGUCUUUAUUAUUGUGUUUACUUAUUAUGAUGAGAUGGGGCUGCAUGCACCAAUUAGAAAGGCUUAAGCACCUAAUUGGAUAGGCGUUAAGUCUUGGAUUACUGACUCUUAGUAUUUGUCUUUACUGCCUUUCACAGUUCUGAUUUUGUUCCUCCUCUGACUCUUGGUCCCCUUAAAUUACGUUGCACGGUUUUUAAACAAAUUUGGGGCUCCAUUAAUUAUAUAUAAAAAAACUUUAAUCAUACUUGUCAUGAUUUCAAAUAUUUUUAAUUAAUUUUUAUAAAUAAAAUGCAUUUUUUAAAAAAGUUAUAUUUAUUGAUUUUAUCAAAUAAAGUUAUCAAAAUAUUCUUAAUUUAAAAAUUAAUAUAUUUAUUUAUAUUUACAAUAAUUUUAUUUAAAAUUAAUAAUAUAACUUUUUCUUAAUACUAGAACUUACUCACAAGAAUUAACAUAAAGUAUUAUGUGAGAAAAACAAUUAAAAUUAUAAGAAAUGUAAGCGGAGUUUACAAAUUAUAUUUUUAAUUUUUAAUUUUUUUACGUUAUAAUAAAUGAUUUCAUGAAGUAAAUGAAAUGAUUGAUUAUUUGAAUUAUUUUUCAACUUUUUUUUAUCACAUUUAAUUUUUUUUAUUUCCCAAGUCCUUGUAUUUUGAAUAUAAAAAAAUAAAAAAACAAUUUUCUCGACAUAAAUAAAUUCUAACAUUUUAAUGUAUUUGGAGUUUUAAAACUUGAUAAUUUCUUAAGAAUUUAGCCUCUUUUCUUAAUAGGUGUAAAUGCAUAAGUAAUUUUUUUUUUGUUUUGAUAACAAAAAACUAAGAUUAAAAAAGUCAUCUUGAUUAAAAAGUUAUAAGAUAAAAAGAGUGUUGACAAUCAUUCAAGAGAUAGAAAAAAUAAACUAAAAUUAAAUGGCCGAAAUAUUCAACAAAGGCUUAUUAACUAUAUAGGCUUUUAAUUAAUUAGUUAUUUAUUUAUUUUUAAAAAUGCAAAGGCAAGCUUUGCCCCACAAAAAUUUUAAAAAAUAAAAUUGUGGGGAAAAUUCUUGGAAGUACAUUUAAUGGGAAUCUUUGUUCACAAUUCUCUUCUUUCUCUGUCCCUCUUUUAGCAUUGUUGUAUUUCAACCUUUCACCUUUGAUGAAAAAAAAAAUAAGAGAGCGUUUAGUACGAGGAAAGUGAGAGCACAUUCUCUGAAAUGUGUCCAAUUAAAUUAUAUUGUCGUGUUUGUUUUGCAACAGAUAACUGUAAUGUAAAAUUGUAAUGCAAUCAAAUUACACUGCACUCUGUAAUAUUUUUAAAUACACUUUUACCCUUCAACUUUAUUACCUUAUUAAAAAAUUUUGUAACGUUAUAAUUAAAAUAAAAUAUAUUAAAAUAAAAUAUAUAAUAUAAAAAUCAAAACUUAAAUUAAAAUAAAAUAUAAGAAAUUAAAAUUUAUAUAAUAUAGGUAAAAGAAAUUAAAAUAAAAUAUAUAAUAUAAAAAAUAUAUUAAAAAUAAAAAAAAGAUUAUAAUAAAAAAUAAAAAUAAAAUAUAUGACAUUAAAAAUAUAUUUAAGAGAUGAUAUUAUAUAAAAAUUAAUAAUAAAAAAUAUAAGUAUAUUAAACUUAUAUUUUAAUAAAUAGGGGUAAUUUUAAAAAUUAACAUUAUAUUCUCAGCAAAGUCCUUGUAAAUCAAAUGCUGCAAUGUUAUCUUCCCUGUAUUUUAAUUAUUAUUUUGCUUCUAUACCAAACACUGUAAUAUUAUUUUCCCUGCAAUCACAUUACCUGUAAUCACAUUGCAUUGUAAAGUACCAAAUGCCACCUAAAGGCAUUAUAGGCGAUUUAACAAACUUUAUUAAAGAUUAAAAGCGAAAAAUAUUUAUUCUAACUUAUUCCUAUCCAAAAAUAACAUAAAAUUCCUUUUAUCUCACCUAUUCGAAAAUCAAAUCUUUCCUUAUUGCAAAUUCUUUUGUCGGGGUUGGUGGGUUAAAGCUAAAAUUGUUACUUAUGAAAUGGUUAAUUCUCCGUAAAGAAAAACAAAUGACGGAAAUGAUUUGAUUAUUAUUUUUUUAAUUUUUUAUAAUAUUUUUAAAUUUUUAUAUUUGAUGUAUUGUUGAUAUUAUAUUAUGAUAAUGUAUUAAAAACCUGUUUGGCCUAACUUUUUUUAACAUAAAAGUUAUUAUUAAGUUCUUAUGAAAAAUAAUAGUUUUUAGAAUUAAGCUAAAGUUGUUUCAUAAACUGUUUAACAAAAUAAAUUAUGUAAACUCUAAUUUCGAUUAGAAUUACCAUAAAAGGUAUUCAUGCUAUCUUCAAUCACUUUAUAAAUUAUAAUGUAAUGCUUUAAGUUUAUAUAUAAUUUCAUAUGUUAAAAUCGAAGAAAUCAAUAAAAAAGGAAUAAUAUUCAAACUUAUAUAGUAGCAAUAGUAUUAUAUUUUUGUUGAUCUAACAAGCAAUCGAACCUUGAUACUUCAAUUCUCAAAAAAUAAGAUAAAAGAGGAAACGAUGUAUUUAAUAUUACAAUCCUUUUUUGUGAAAAAGAGAGAAAAUCUGUAAAUAGUAUCUGAAUACAAUUUUGAAUUUUAAUUUUUUUUUAAUUUUUGUAAGAACAAAAAAAUUUUAGAUUUUGAUAUUCUGUUGUUGGGUCUUCUUUUUUUUAUUAAUUUUUGUAGAGAGAGGUAGAGAAUAGGGAAAUCGUGAUUUAUGUUGAAGAAUAGUAAUUUGUGGAGGGAACGAGAGGAGAGGGAGACUAAUUGAGAGAGAAGUAUUUUUUGAAAAUUAAUGUGUUUUUAAAAGAAUAAAAGAAAAAGCUAUUUCUUGGAGCUUUUUUUUAAGCUUUUUUUUUUAAAUUUUGUUUUAAAAAAAAAGUUAUUUUUUUUAAGAGUUUCUUAAAAUAUUAUAUUUGACUUAACUUUUAAUUUUAAAAAAUAGAUACGUUGAAAAAAAUUAGGCAAAACAUGUACUAAAUAUAAAUCUGGUUGUUUUGUUUAGAGAUUGCUAAAUUGGUAAGGAAUGGGAUUCAUGAAUCCUAAAUAGUUAGAUAAGAAGAUAAAGUAACAAAUCUAAGAUGGAUUCUUUUGGGGUUGUAGUUUUGGCAACUAUCUUUGCAACUUGUUCGACAAAAUCCACUAUAAUAUUGGAAAUACACCAAAUAAAAUGUUAUGAAUUUCAUCAAAUUUUUGUCCAAAAAUAAAAGACAAAUGGUACCCCAUUGAAUGACAGGACAAUUCAGGCAUGAGUGUCAUGUCGGAGGACCAGGGUCCAGCUCUGCACCAUUUGCACUUUGAUCUGUCCCUUUUGACAGGAUGUCGGAUACAACAUAUUUCCUUUUGGGUGUUCAGAUUUUGGUUCAGCCUGAUUGAUUAGCAAGCCCAACCCAACACAUUUAUUAUGUGAAACAGGCCUGAGCAUGUUUAAAGUCCGUUUAGUAAUAAAAAAUAAAGAAAAUUAUCUCAUGAAAUCUUUUAUAAAAAUUUUUCAGGUAAAAUACACAAAUUUCUUCAUUUUUAAACAUAAUUUCAUACGAAUUUAUUAAUUUUUAAAAUAAAUAAUAUAUAAACAACAUUAAUACUUAAAUGUGAAAUAUUUAAAAUAUUUUUUUUACUCUUUUCUUUCUUUUAGAUUGAUGUUUCUUGCCACCAUAUCAGUGCUCCUUGGGGCCAAUGGUCGAUCGGUGAAGGUAGUGUAGGUUUUUUUAAAAAAAUUAUAAAUUUAUAAUUUUUAAAAUUAUUAAAAAGUAAAAUUAUCUUUUUAUUAUUAAUAUGUUAUCAAAUUAACAAAGUUAAUUAACUAUUAGAUUUAUGUGUUUCACAUAGUUAUUUUUUUGAAAAAAAUUUUAUUUUAAAAAUUAAUAAACUCGUAUGAAAUUAUAAUUAAAAAUUAAAAAAUUUAUAAAUUUUAUUCAAAAUUUUAAUAUUUUUUUAUUAUUUAAAUAAACAAUUGAAAAUAUUUAUUAUUAUUUAUAUCAUCUCUUGGGUGCACACCUUGUAUAGUUAGUGGACUCUUUUUAUUGACUAGUAGAAACAGUUUUUUAAAAAAUAUUUUACGUCAAGACGAGCUAUACCUUGCCGCAGCCACGCAACAAACCAAGACAAGUGGAUCCAAAUUAACGUUGGUCUCUGUGCCGCGAGGCCAAAGUCAAACUAAGUAAUGCACAUGCUGGAUCUACUUCACGAUUCUUCUGAAAACCAGGGAGCUAAGGAAAAAUUCCUUCAAAGGAUCAAAAAUGGAACAAGCAGAACCCCAAGUACCCCACGUGGUGUUCUUGCCCAUCCCUGGACUUGGUCACAUCAAACCCAUGCUCAAGCUAGCAGAGCUUCUCAGCCGUGCCAGUUUCCAAGUCACCUUCAUAAACACGCAACGCAUCCAUGAUCGUCUCCUCUCCACCGACUUGCUGGCACGCUACCCUGAGUUUCAGUUCCUGACGAUCCCAGAUGUUGUACCACGUGAUCGUCCACGCUCGGGCACUAUGAGUCCGGGUGAUUUUUUAUUGGCCGCAGGUCCUGUGAUCAAGCCAGCGCUCCGUCAGCUUUUCAUUUCGCUUUGCAAGAAAAAGGGACGGUGGCAGCCUGCUACGUGCAUAAUCGAAGAUGGGAUAUUGUCUUCUUCUGUUAUUGAUGUUGCAGAGGAAUUUCAGGUUCCUGUCUUCGCUUUCCGAACAUCGAGUGCUUGUUGCAUCUGGACUUACUUCCACGUACCUAAGCUCGUUGAAGAAGGGGAUGUUCCAGUGGUACAAGGUUAGUUGGAUCAAAGCAAUUCUCAUCACAUUUUCAGCUAGUAGUUUUCUCAAAGGAUUUCUGGUCUAAGUUACUGGGUUGAUUUUCUCUAAGGAAUAGCAGAAAACUAGAUAAAUCACCAACAAGAAUAAGAUAAUUGUAUGCCUGCUCUGAUAAUCAAAUGGCAAACAAUCAGAUUCUUGAUUACUUGUAUAUAAUUAAGAAAAGAAGUGGCAAGCUAACCACUUACCUUGAUCUGGCAUUCUUGUGGUAUCUCUGUUUUGGAUAAUUGAGAUUUGUAUUUAUCUAAGAAAAGCAGGAAAUUGCCUGCUACAGAGGAAGCAACCUGCAGAAGCAGGAAACAAUGGAAAAGAUGGAACAUCAAACAAAAAUGUUAUCUGCCAAACCCCAAUUUACACUUAGUUCCCUGUUUACAUGAUCAUUAGCAAUGUUGUGUAUCCCAUCAAGCCUGAAUUUAACAGAAUCUAUGAUGCAAUUAAGAAAAAAAAAAACUCUUUAAUGAUUCAUUAUCAUUUAGCUUGGUUUUAACUUGUAUGGUGUUGCAGAUAAAGACAUGGACAAGCCAGUCACUUGCAUUCCAGGACUAGAGAAUGUUGUUCGACGUCGAGAUCUUCCGGGAAUUUUCAGGAUUGAGAGAGCUGACGAUCCAGGCUUGGAAUUCUUUAUCAACGACCAAACCUUAGUCAUGCCACGAGCAUUUGCAGUGAUAAUCAACACUUUCGAUGGACUUGAAGCAACCAUGUUAUCUAAACUGGCUUCUGUUUUUACCAAAAUGUACACUGUCGGUCCUUUACACGGUCUCUCCAAUGCCCGCGCGAAGGACCUAACAACUUCAGCAUCAAGCAACAGUAUUCUAUGGAAAGAAGAUAGAGGCUGCAUGCCUUGGCUUGAUUCUCAGCCGUCAAGAUCAGUUGUUUUUGUUAGCUUUGGGAGUUUAAUAGGCUUGACACGAGACAAAAUGCUUGAGUUCCGACAUGGCUUGGUGAAUAGUGGCUAUUCAUUUUUGUGGGUCAUUCGACCAGACUCAAUUACAGGAGAGGUUGAUCCAAGCCUGAUCCCAGGGGAGCUGAAAGCCAUGAUAGAAGACAACAAAGGAUUGAUGGUGAGUUGGGCUCCUCAAGAAGAGGUCUUGGCUCACCCAGCUAUCGGUGUGUUCUUAACCCACAGCGGAUGGAACUCGACCUUGGAGAGUGUAUAUGCAGGAGUACCCAUGAUUUGUUGGCCUGCAAUUGGUGACCAACAAAUCAACAGCAGGUUCGUGAGUGAUGUGUGGAAAAUCGGUUUUGACAUGAAAGAUUCGUGUGAUAGAUCAUUGAUUGAGAAAAUGGUGAGAGAUCUGAUGGAGGAUAAAAGAGAAGAGAUCAUGAAAUCAGUGAAUAAGAUUAAGAAGCUGGCUCAUGAAACUGUCAAGGAAGGGGGCUCUUCUUUCUCCAACCUUGAGAAAUUGAUUGAUGACAUUUGGUCAAUGAGUCAUUUUGCUCGGAAGGAAAGAAGUGACUAGAAGGCAUUAGCAUUUCACCAGUUAUAAAACAAUGUAUCCUAAAUAAUAAAUGUUAGUAGGCAUCCUAUAAAUAUUAUUG
This 13346-nucleotide long non-coding RNA is filed under the name Theobroma cacao (cacao). RNAcentral describes it as "long non-coding RNA (TCAC_LNC002813)". Lineage: Eukaryota; Viridiplantae; Streptophyta; Magnoliopsida; Malvales; Malvaceae. The record is from RNAcentral.